This 460-nucleotide ribosomal RNA is filed under the name uncultured bacterium. RNAcentral's name for it is "partial 16S ribosomal RNA". It matches the Rfam family "Bacterial small subunit ribosomal RNA", at positions 338 to 795 of the family's 1533-position model. The record is from RNAcentral.
CCUACGGGAGGCAGCAGUGAGGAAUAUUGGUCAAUGGACGAGAGUCUGAACCAGCCAUGUAGCGUGAAGGAUGACUGCCCUAUGGGUUGUAAACUUCUUUUAUAUGGGAAUAAAACAGGGUAUGCAUACCCUCUUGUAUGUACCAUAUGAAUAAGGAUCGGCUAACUCCGUGCCAGCAGCCGCGGUAAUACGGAGGAUCCGAGCGUUAUCCGGAUUUAUUGGGUUUAAAGGGAGCGUAGGUGGAUUGUUAAGUCAGUUGUGAAAGUUUGCGGCUCAACCGUAAAAUUGCAGUUGAAACUGGCGGUCUUGAGUACAGUAGAGGUGGGCGGAAUUCGUGGUGUAGCGGUGAAAUGCUUAGAUAUCACGAAGAACUCCGAUUGCGAAGGCAGCUCACUAGACUGCAACUGACACUGAGGCUCGAAAGUGUGGGUAGCAAACAGGAUUAGAUACCCGAGUAGUC